GAAACAAUCACAUGGGUGCAGCCAACUUUUUUCAGUGCAUAAAUGUUAGCUCGAUAAUUGACGUUACUUGGGUUUAUGUUGUGUUGACGACCAUGCCUGCAAGAAAAUAAAUACCAAGAAUUAAGUUCCGAUCACUUGACAUACUGGUAAGUCAUCCUACAGUGCCUCUCGGAGACUUUACAAAAAAAAACCAUUGGGGGGAGGGGGGAUAGAGGGUGAGAGAACAUGUUAGGGGAAGAGAGAGCAUAGCCGCGAGAGCGAGACUAAUAAGCAAUAAAGGUACUUAAUGACUGGAUGAAGAAAAAACGAAAGAAAAAAUUGGAGAAAAAAAGGGUACCUAACUACGGCCAGUUACGAAAACGGAACGGGCAUAGAAAGAUUCAUCUGAAUAUAUGAGUAAAAACCUGCCUUGAUUGGAUGCUUCAUAGCGGUAGAGCUGUCAACUUUCGGCGAACUUAGAACUUGACGAACACACUGGUGGUAGACUGCAGGCUCGAAUCCGACUAGCAAAGAGCGGGAAUACGCCCCAUAGACAGCCGGAUCGGACAGCCCAAGUUGGCCGCAAGCUCGGGACGCUAGUGAUGACGUAGAAGCUCGUAGACACUAACUAUACGAGCUUUAUCUCGCCCUCUUACGUCACGCCAAAGUCUGCAACAGAGAACAAAGUCCCAUCGAUCAGUAUGGCAAUGAGGACGCGGAAUCUGACACGACGGACAGAGGGGAAAUCUGUGACACGCGUUUUACAUGGGAGCGGCAACUAUAGGGAGCGGAGAAGACGACGUGGAGUCCGCUAGAGUACCUAAGUAUAAACAGGAGAGUAUUGCCAUCUCUGUGCCACUCCCUGAUUGGUUCAUCAGUUUUAGGCUAUCAUGGAGUUCAAAAGUUGGACCAAUGUAAACAAAUCCGACCCAGAGGAAUACGUAUUAUCGGCUGAGAAAUGAAUGAUAAUCACACCCAAAGGUUAAUUUUCGGUAAAAAUAUCCAUUCAAGGUCGAUCCGAACUCAGUACAGCAGUUGAUAAUAAAAAAAAUUCUAUCACAUCCAAAAUCAUGACUACAACUUUACAGAACUUUGUGGCCAUCUUGUUUACUUACAUUGGGCCAAACUAGGAGCGGAGGGGCUGGGGUUUGUUUGCAUUGGUCCACCUUUGGGGCUCCAUGAUAGCCGACCAAUCAGAGAGCGGCACACUUUUUCUGUGGUAAAAGGAUUGAGAUGGCAAUACUCUCCCGUUCACAUGUACUCUAGUCGCCGGUAAUCCAGAACUGCGCGAAAGGUCUACGAAAAUAUUUAAGGAUUGUGCGAAAAAGGCACAAAGAUUGCGCGAAUAGAAACCUUAACACCUGCUACAGGAAUGCGCGAAUUUUAAAAUGAAGUUAAUUCAAGGUUACAAUUGGAAAAUAAACGCAUUAUUAUGUCACGUUA
Molecule: long non-coding RNA, 1422 nt
Organism: Bemisia tabaci
Lineage: Eukaryota; Metazoa; Arthropoda; Insecta; Hemiptera; Aleyrodidae
Source: RefSeq, a predicted model, not a curated record